This 131-nucleotide unclassified non-coding RNA is filed under the name Umbelopsis isabellina. RNAcentral describes it as "sequence contains 18S rRNA gene, ITS1, 5.8S rRNA gene, ITS2, 28S rRNA gene". The stretch from base 1 to 41 matches the Rfam family "Eukaryotic small subunit ribosomal RNA", at positions 1791 to 1831 of the family's 1831-position model. The record is from RNAcentral. Lineage: Eukaryota; Fungi; Mucoromycota; Umbelopsidomycetes; Umbelopsidales; Umbelopsidaceae.
GUAACAAGGUUUCCGUAGGUGAACCUGCGGAAGGAUCAUUACCAAAAGAUAUUCUUUCAACUCGAAAGAUCUUUUCCUUUGUGCUGGCUUUGACCGUAUGUAAUUUUGGGACUUAAACAUGGUAAAGCCUU